CGCAUGUGCCUGUUCAGAAUCAUGUUCGUGUCCGUUGACAUAGUUACCUCAGUUUAGUUUUUUCUGUUUAUGUUUCAGGUUUAUUUUCGCCCCUGUUGCUUUAUUUUGUACUCAUGUAUCAGCCAUAAUACACAGCUCGCUUUUUGUUUAUCCUUAGUUCCGUCUCCCUCCGUGUGUGCAGUUGGGUCCUUCUCACUCCCCACACAGUCUGCUUCAGUUUUGGUGUGAGUUCCCUGUGCACGGACCAGGCCGUGUAACAAUAAGCUGUUGUACAAGUGACCCAAGUCGCCGUUCGUAAACAAUGACCAACAGACAAAAACAGAAUUGCCUACAACAUCAGACUCACAAAUGGAUUCUAUUUUCUGGUCACGCCACGGCUCAUCCCUCAGGCUUUGCUCAUUUCUCAGACUCCAAGCCAUACUCUCUGCUCUUCACACGCCACCUCUUGGAAAGCUUCCAGCUCUACACCUGCCUGCCCUCCUGUCACCUUUUGCUCGGUGGAUCUCUCGAACCCAGGUAAACCUCUGUAACGUCCACCGAGAGUAAACAGAUGGAUGUAACUUUGAGGUCUGAAAACUGAAGCCAAAAAAAGUAAACAAGAAGGAUGUGCUUUGGAUCCACCAAAGAAUCCAUCCAUCCUUUUUCUGCUCCUUAUCUGGGUUCGGAUCAUGGGGGCAGCCGUCCGAGCAGAGAAGCCCAGACUUCCCUCAGCCAAACCACCUCUUCCAGCUCAUCCGGGGACACUGAAGCGUUCCCAAGCCAGUUGAAAGAUGUAACCUCUGCAGCGAAUCCUGUGAAUUUAUUUUUUCACUCUCUUGCUUGCACCGUACAGUUGGUGCAGCAAUGCAUUUGUGUAGGAUUUAGUUUCUCACAGACUUGAGGCCCCUAUUAUGUGGAACUCCACACCAGCAUCGGCUUGGCAUGAUGCAUAAUGCUGAUGUACUUUUUUCCCGUGUCAGCUCCCAUUGCUCCCCUUUUCUCUGCUCCUGGCACCUCCAUUUCAUCACUUCUUUCUGCGGCCUGUGUGUAGUAGGACAAUUGAUGAGGGGAAAGAUGCUGCUGGUUGAGAAAUAUCACAAACUAUGAGAUCCACAAUCUCCACAACAUGCCUAAAAAUGACCACAACUACUGUUGUAAACAUUAGCACAGCUCGUACUUUAGUGUGAGACUUGGUAUGUAAUGUCUUCGUUAGUAAGAAGACUGUAAAACUGACGAUGAUUCAGACCUCUGGCUGAGAGGAAAUAAACAGCUCAGACAACCACUCUUAUGAUGUGAUAGACUAUUAAGAAACUACAGUACAGUACCUGCUGGUGUUAAAGAUACAGUGAAAAUUACAAAAAUCAUAUUAACAUAGUUUUGUAUUGCUAUUAAUUGUACAUUUUUUAUAUUUUAUUUCUCGCUUUUACUUAUUUUGUUAUACAGCGUUUUGUAACUUAAUGUGAAAAAUGCU
Molecule: long non-coding RNA, 1450 nt
Organism: Maylandia zebra (zebra mbuna)
Lineage: Eukaryota; Metazoa; Chordata; Actinopteri; Cichliformes; Cichlidae
Source: RefSeq, a predicted model, not a curated record